This 432-nucleotide ribosomal RNA is filed under the name uncultured bacterium. Its description in RNAcentral is "partial 16S ribosomal RNA". It matches the Rfam family "Bacterial small subunit ribosomal RNA", at positions 29 to 507 of the family's 1533-position model. The record is from RNAcentral.
AACGAACGCUGGCGGCAUGCCUAACAUAUGCAAGUCGAACGAGACCUUCGGGUCUAGUGGCGCACGGGUGCGUAACGCGUGGGAACCUGCCCUUAGGUUCGGAAUAACUCCCCGAAAGGGGUGCUAAUACCGGAUAAUGUCUUCGGACCAAAGAUUUAUCGCCUUUGGAUGGGCCCGCGUUGGAUUAGCUAGUUGGUAGGGUAAAAGCCUACCAAGGCGACGAUCCAUAGCUGGUCUGAGAGGAUGAUCAGCCACACUGGGAGUGGGACCCGGCCCAGACCCUUGGGGAGGGGGGCAGGGGGGAAAAUGGAAAAAGGGGGGAAGGCCGAAGCCCCCAGGGCCGGGGAAGGGAUUAGGGCCUUAGGGUUAAAAAGCUUUUUUUCCCGGGAUGUUAAGGACGGACCCGGGAAAAAAGGCCCGGCCAACCUCCUG